GUCUAACAAAUUGUCUGCAGCCCCUAGACACAUAAAGAACAAUCUUUCCUUCAUCAGUCCACAAAAUGUUGCUCCAUUUCACUUUAGGCCAGUCAAUUUGUUCUUUGGCAAAUUGUAACCUCUUCAGCAUGUCGUUUUUUUCAAGAAUGGGAUCUUUCGUAGCUUUCAUGGCUUCUUGUCCAUAGCACAGAUAAUGAUUGAGACCAGGGAAUGAACUGUGAGUCACUGAAGCAAUAAAGAUCUCAAAGAAUUUUAAUUUUUUGCCUUUGAAGUCCCAUGAUGCUUCACUGUCACUGAAGGCCAGACUACAAGAAGAAUCGUAGUCACAUUUUUAAUACAACAUGCCCA
Molecule: long non-coding RNA, 348 nt
Organism: Thalassophryne amazonica
Lineage: Eukaryota; Metazoa; Chordata; Actinopteri; Batrachoidiformes; Batrachoididae
Exons: 3
Source: RefSeq, a predicted model, not a curated record